This is a long non-coding RNA of Solenopsis invicta (red fire ant), 2505 nucleotides long. RefSeq lists it as uncharacterized. The record is from RefSeq and is a predicted model, not a curated record. The transcript is spliced from 5 exons. NCBI's taxonomy places the organism in Eukaryota, Metazoa, Arthropoda, Insecta, Hymenoptera, Formicidae.
AUUUUUUUUAUUGACCUUUUUACACACUUUAUAUUAUUUUGUUUUUCAACAGGAACUGCAAGCUAAAAAUGAUGCUGCUAACGCAAAAUUAAAAUAAAUGGUCAAGAACCAAUAGGAGGCGGAGAAGAAGAAGGUGCAGAGUCAAGAGAUUCAACAACAAUUAGCUAUUCAAACGGUGGCUAUAAAUCAGAAGAGGGACGAUCUUGCCUUGGUGCAACCAGCCGAUUAUCGAUGCUCAAAAUGCUGAUGUCCAGUAUAAACCGUACAUUAGCAGCGAGCCUGAGGUCCGAUGCGUACUUAUGGACGGUAACGAGGAUUUUCUCAUAAUUGCCUGCGGAUUGUGGGACUACGUGGAUCAGAGAACCGCGGCGCUCUGCGUCUACCGACAGGUGCAACAGAAUUCCUCUUGACUUCACACUGGUGAGCGACGAGACCGAUGAAACAGACGUCGGAUUCGACUGCGUUGCAUCGAUGCAUCAUCAGGAUGCUACGCAGAGUUGAGAACGUAACAAGCUGUUAUUACAUAAGCCAAGCCAGACCCGCGAGCGGGAACAGGAGCACGAGAGGCUGUAUCAGUUGUAGUCGAUGAACAACUUGUUGCUUGAUUUACCAUUGCCAUUGUCGCCAUCACACCUCUCUGAAUUUUUCACAGGAUGCUUCUACUUCUUCCUAGUUGCAGAAGAACAUCAGUACUGAUGGUCCCGAUUCUCAGAGGUCAAAGGAGCACCUGUGGCAAAGAAACUUAAAUACAGUAAGACUAACAUGGAAAAAAAUUUCAAGAUAAUUUGACAGUGGCAAUGCGUUCUACAGAACAAGUGGAUUAUUGGGGUAGAUCUAUACAACAAAUCUUGUUGUUUAUUUUCGUCAUAAGGAAACUAUUAUUUAUCUCGACGAUGAAAAGAAGCCACCAGUCUAAAUCGAAAAGUGCAGUCACCUGGUACUAGAUGUAGUCACAACAUGAAAAGCCGCUGCAUAAGCUGAUCACAGAUUUGCAGCGAUUUGCCGCAAUGAAUUACGAAGAGUAAUUGCGCAGGUUGUCCGCGAAUCAUGACACCUACUUUCUCAAGUAUCGAUCAGAGACUGGCUGGUGGGUUUUCAAAGUUGACCACUUUUCCACGAUGGCAUGUUCGCCGACCUAUUCGAUCACUGAUGCUUUGAACUACUACGGGACCUUGUUUAACACGAUGGAAGCUCAAGUGUAUACAGCGAUGCCCAACCUGAGUAUAGAAAGAACUACUACGACAUCGAGUACGGUAAGCGAAUAGCCGAUUUCUGCUGUUAUUUUUUGAAGCUAAAUUGCUCGGGAAAUUGUGAUCUGAGCGAGCUUCUAAAUCCGUUGCCAACCUCUUAAAUAGAUUAAUGUUAUUUCGUAUUGGCGCUGUCUACUGAAUUUUAAUUUUUAAUGGGCACUUCCAGCAAACAAAAAUGGAUUCAGAAUAUUUAAAAUGGAUAGAAAUGGAUUUAAAAAAUCAUCAAUUUGGAUUCGGCAAUAACUACUCGAAUCUAUUUCUAUUUAAUUAAAGUUUAAGAAUUUGUUAAAUUCAUUUUAAAUCUGUGAAGUGAGAUUGAAAUUACGGGUUUUUUUUAUCAUCAAAAAAAUUGUGCGAGCCAUACAAUCCAUUUUGAUCUAUGAAACGGAAUUGAAAUAAAGCGAGAAAUAAAGUGAUUUUUAUUUUUUCCGAUCUAAAAGGAGUUUCGGCAAGUCAUUUAAUCUAUUUUAAUCCAUGACAUAGAAUUGAAAUGACUUAAUUACUCUUUUUAAAUCCAAAAUGUAUUUAAAUGAAUUAAAAUGGAUUACAUAUUUUCAAUCCAUUUUUGUUUGCAUUUGAGCUGCUAUGUUAUGACCCACGAAUAUGCGACAGUUCAAAUAGAUGCUGCUUCUCUUUUACAGAACAUAGUCGACACUUUUAACACAAAGCGAUACACUUCGCUUUUUAUUUACAAACUCAAUCGACAUUUUUUAAUUCUAUUCAGAAGGAGAGUCUGAGACUGUAAUCGACUGUGUUAACUUGUGUCGAUUUGUGUCUUCUAAAAGGAAAGCAGCCAGAUUAGACAUUGUAAUUAUCAACAAAUUAAGAAACGGCAAUACCGCGUAUGAGAAAAGAAGCGGAACAGUACACCAUGGAAAACUUUAUUUGUGGCGAAGAACGCUUUCUCAAGGAGUUUUCAAGGUGUUUCUCCCGCUUUCUUCGUACAUGUGUAACUAAUAGCGAAUUCAGUUGGAUUGCACUAGUGCGCACUGAUGCACAUUAAAAUCGCCGUACACUAAUCGACAAACGAUAUGUAUUAAUAUAAAUAUAUAAACAGAUUAUAUAUAAAUUGUGAAAUCUUUAAUCGAUAUUUUAUUAUGCUAUUUAGUAAAAUAUUUAUUUUUUUCAUUCAAAAUACUUAUAUUUUAUUUUUAAAUGAGAUUAGAUUAGUAUACAGGCUUUAAUAUAUACCAACCGAAUUCGCUACCAACACUUUUGUCAAUGCCUAUCUAUGAAGAAAAAAUAGUUGUUACAC